AGGCCCGCGGUAACCUUUUCUGUUUAAUAGGCUGUUAUUAUUCUUGGUUAAUUUCACUAGUUUUGUUUUGCUUUGGAGUGGAAUUUAACUCAGUCUUUUUACGACGAAAUCCAGAUAUAGAUUCGUGCUUCUGUGUUUCUCUAUGCCUUUUGUGUCUCCAUGCUUCUGUGUUUCUUUUUAACAACGAAAUCCAGAUAUUGUUGUGGGCCGAUUUUCUUGUUUUUGUUCUAUCGUUUGCUCACUUUUGACCCAUGUUGCCCACGGAGGCCACCAUUCGUUCGUAGCUAGGCGGAAAGCAGAGUGGAGGCCUUUUUACGGAUCUAGUGCGCUUCAGCCCAAGCUUUGAUUUGCACAUGUCCUCACUCCCACCUUUUGCUG
This 378-nucleotide long non-coding RNA is filed under the name Sorghum bicolor (sorghum). Its description in RNAcentral is "long non-coding RNA (SBIC_LNC005861)". Lineage: Eukaryota; Viridiplantae; Streptophyta; Magnoliopsida; Poales; Poaceae. The record is from RNAcentral.